GCGCCCGUAGCUCAGCUGGAUAGAGCAACGGAUUUCUAAUCCGUAGGUCGUAGGUCCGAAUCCUACCGGGCGUA
This 74-nucleotide transfer RNA is filed under the name Sedimentisphaerales bacterium. RNAcentral describes it as "tRNA-Arg". It matches the Rfam family "tRNA". Rfam says of the family: Transfer RNA (tRNA) molecules are approximately 80 nucleotides in length. The record is from RNAcentral. Lineage: Bacteria; Pseudomonadati; Planctomycetota; Phycisphaerae; Sedimentisphaerales.